CACGAGCACGUAAAUGCACUGUGUUGCUAAUUUGGCUCAUCGAAAAUUAGCAGCAUGGCGCAUUUGCGCGCCAAUGGCCAAAU
This 83-nucleotide microRNA precursor is filed under the name Ascaris suum (pig roundworm). Its description in RNAcentral is "microRNA asu-mir-5366 precursor". The stretch from base 4 to 73 matches the Rfam family "mir-5366 microRNA precursor family". The record is from miRBase by way of RNAcentral. Lineage: Eukaryota; Metazoa; Nematoda; Chromadorea; Rhabditida; Ascarididae.